AGAGAAUAGAUACCCCGGUAGUCCACGCCCUAAACGAUGUCAACUGGCUUUGCGGAGUAUCGACCCUCUGCGAGGCGAAAGCUAACGCGUUAAGUUGACCGCCUGGGUAGUACGGCCGCAAGGCUAAAACUCAAAGGAAUAGACGGGGGCUUGCACAAGCGGUGGAGCGUGUGGCUUAAUUCGUCGCUAAGCGAAGAACCUUACCAGGGCUAGAAAUCCUACUGCACGCCUAUCGAAAGAUAGGAAGCCUUCGAGGGUGUAGGACAGGUGAUGCAUGGCUGUCGUCAGUUCGUGGUUUGAAUCGUUCCCUUCAGUGGGGUAACGAACGCAACCCUCGUUGCCAGUUACAAGUGUCUGGCGAGACUGCCCCCUCACGGGGGGAGGAAGGUGAGGAUGACGCCAAGUCAGCAUGUCCCUCUGAUGUCCUGGGCUGCACACGCGCUACAAUCGCCGUUACAAAGGGACGCAAUGUGGUAACACGGAGCAAAUCCUGAAAAGCGGCGCCAGUUCGGAUUGGGGGUCUGCAACCCGACCCCAUGAAGCCGGAA
RNAcentral lists this ribosomal RNA (548 nucleotides) under uncultured bacterium. RNAcentral describes it as "bacterial SSU rRNA". It matches the Rfam family "Bacterial small subunit ribosomal RNA", at positions 773 to 1331 of the family's 1533-position model. The record is from RNAcentral.